Molecule: ribosomal RNA, 561 nt
Filed under: uncultured bacterium
Lineage: Bacteria
Description: bacterial SSU rRNA
Rfam family: Bacterial small subunit ribosomal RNA
Source: RNAcentral
UCCUACGGGAGGCAGCAGUGGGGAAUCUUAGACAAUGGGCGCAAGCCUGAUCUAGCCAUGCCGCGUGUGUGAUGAAGGUCUUAGGAUCGUAAAGCACUUUCGCCAGGGAUGAUAAUGACAGUACCUGGUAAAGAAACCCCGGCUAACUCCGUGCCAGCAGCCGCGGUAAUACGGAGGGGGUUAGCGUUGUUCGGAAUUACUGGGCGUAAAGCGUACGUAGGCGGAUCAGAAAGUUGGGGGUGAAAUCCCGGGGCUCAACCCCGGAACUGCCUCCAAAACUCCUGGUCCUGAGUUCGAGAGAGGUGAGUGGAAUUCCAAGUGUAGAGGUGAAAUUCGUAGAUAUUUGGAGGAACACCAGUGGCGAAGGCGGCUCACUGGCUCGAUACUGACGUUGAGGUACGAAAGUGUGGGGAGCAAACAGGAUUAGAUACCCUGGUAGUCCACACCGUAAACGAUGAAUGCCAGUCGUCGGGCAGUAUACUGUUCGGUGACACACCUAACGGAUUAAGCAUUCCGCCUGGGGAGUACGGUCGCAAGAUUAAAACUCAAAGGAAUUGACGG